RNAcentral lists this ribosomal RNA (442 nucleotides) under uncultured bacterium. RNAcentral describes it as "partial 16S ribosomal RNA". It matches the Rfam family "Bacterial small subunit ribosomal RNA", at positions 338 to 795 of the family's 1533-position model. The record is from RNAcentral.
CCUACGGGGGGCAGCAGUGGGGAAUAUUGGGCAAUGGGCGCAAGCCUGACCCAGCAACGCCGCGUGAAGGAAGAAGGCCCUCGGGUUGUAAACUUCUUUUCUAUAGGACGAAGAAGUGACGGUACUAUAGGAAUAAGCCACGGCUAACUACGUGCGAGCAGCCGCGGUAAUACGUAGGUGGCGAGCGUUAUCCGGAUUUACUGGGUGUAAAGGGAGCGUAGACGGCUGUGCAAGUCUGAAGUGAAAGCCCGUGGCUCAACCGCGGAACUGCUUUGGAAACUGUAUAGCUUGAGUACUGGAGAGGCAGGCGGAAUUCCUAGUGUAGCGGUGAAAUGCGUAGAUAUUAGGAGGAACACCAGUGGCGAAGGCGGCCUGCUGGACAGAAACUGACGUUGAGGCUCGAAAGCGUGGGGAGCAAACAGGAUUAGAUACCCGGGUAGUC